Molecule: small nuclear RNA, 105 nt
Organism: Loxodonta africana (African savanna elephant)
Lineage: Eukaryota; Metazoa; Chordata; Mammalia; Proboscidea; Elephantidae
Source: Ensembl
GUGUUCCCUUUGGCAGCACAUUUACUAAAACUGCAAUGAUGCAGAGAGAGCAGCAUGGCCCUGUACAAGGAUGACACACAAAUUCAUGACAUGUUCCUUAUUUUU